GACGAACGCUGGCGGCGUGCCUAAUACAUGCAAGUCGAACGCUUUUUCUUUCACCGGAGCUUGCCCCACCGAAAGAAAAAGAGUGGCGAACGGGUGAGUAACACGUGGGUAACCUGCCCAUCAGAAGGGGAUAACACUUGGAAACAGGUGCUAAUACCGUAUAACACUAUUUUCCGCAUGGAAGAAAGUUGAAAGGCGCUUUUGCGUCACUGAUGGAUGGACCCGCGGUGCAUUAGCUAGUAGGUGAGGUAACGGCUCACCAAGGCAACGAUGCAUAGCCGACCUGAGAGGGUGAUCGGCCACACUGGGACUGAGACACGGCCCAGACUCCUACGGGAGGCAGCAGUAGGGAAUCUUCGGCAAUGGACGAAAGUCUGACCGAGCAACGCCGCGUGAGUGAAGAAGGUUUUCGGAUCGUAAAACUCUGUUGUUAGAGAAGAACAAGGAUGAGAGUAAAACGUUCAUCCCUUGACGGUAUCUAACCAGAAAGCCACGGCUAACUACGUGCCAGCCGCCGCGGUAA
This 523-nucleotide ribosomal RNA is filed under the name uncultured bacterium. RNAcentral describes it as "partial 16S ribosomal RNA". It matches the Rfam family "Bacterial small subunit ribosomal RNA", at positions 28 to 523 of the family's 1533-position model. The record is from RNAcentral.